Molecule: non-coding RNA, 390 nt
Organism: Engraulis encrasicolus (European anchovy)
Lineage: Eukaryota; Metazoa; Chordata; Actinopteri; Clupeiformes; Engraulidae
Source: the annotation of a RefSeq genome assembly
AUGACAAACAACAUCACAUUCAUCUGGACUCUCCUGCUCUGUAUCACAGCAUGCAGAUGCCAGUAUACUGUGACUCAGACUCCAGCAGUGAAAGCUGCUCUUUUGGGACAGACCAUCACACUCAACUGCAGGAUCAGCAGCCCCAACAGUUAUCACUACUUCUCCUGGUACCUUCAGAAACCUGGAGAAGUUCCUAAACUGUUAAUGUAUCUCACAAGCUCACGCUAUGGAUCAACUCCCAGUCGCUUUGUUGGUGGAGGACCAAGUGGUGGUAGUGCCUUCACUCUGACCAUCACUCACCGACAACCAGGUGAUCAGCUGACUGCUGAACUGUCAGGCUCAUCAGGAAGCUCUACAGUGACUGUGUUUGUCAUCAUUGAGGAGAAAUAA